ACAUACACACACACACACACACACACACACACACAUACAUACACAUACAUAUACAGAAAGAGAGAGAGGCAAAACCAGAGUAAAAAGAACCUAUUCUAUACCUAACUAGUUCGACAGGUCUGUGGGGUAAAUUAUAUUCCAGCCACAGACCAUCCAUUCAUACUUACCAUGCAUGCAAAUAAAUACCAAGAGAAGAUAUAAAAUAUAUAUGCUACGCCGAAUCCUGUGCGGCGCUAAUCAUUCACACUUCCAAAAUAUGUUUGACUGUCACAGUUGCGCUGCACAGGGGACACCUGGGUAUCAGUCCGAUGAAGAGGUUCCCAUGUGUCAGGACCUGAGGUUUCACUGAUUUUAGCAUUUCGGACAUGGUAGUCCAGCUGACCUGCCAGUCUUUCCAGCGUUUCAAUACGCUUUUAACUUCUGCUGGACUGGUCACAAUCACAAAUUGAAAUCCUGUCUGCUGGUUGUAUACAAUACAUGUUCAGUUAUGGAUGGAAAUAAAUGAAAUUUUUAAAAAAAAUUGAUUCUGUAAUGCGAGAGAUAUAGUAGUAAUAAAAAAUUAAUCAA
Molecule: long non-coding RNA, 567 nt
Organism: Cimex lectularius (bed bug)
Lineage: Eukaryota; Metazoa; Arthropoda; Insecta; Hemiptera; Cimicidae
Exons: 3
Source: RefSeq, a predicted model, not a curated record